CUUCCGCCGGCCCAGGUGGCCCUGAAGCUCCUCGUCCUCCUCCAGCUGCGGGGUCAGGCCAUCAGCAUCGUCCUCUGGAACAGAGCCAAGCCCACCCCAGCGGAGUCCGUGGGAGGCGAAGGUUAGCAGCCCCCACCCUGCUGCAAGCUCCCCAAACUCCCAGGCCUCAUGGACAGGCUCCUGCCACCCACCACUCAGUCAGAAACCAGCCUCCCGGCUACCCGCUAACCCCGCUCUCAGCCCUCUCUCCCUGCACCACGGCCAAGAUGGCUUCAGUCCAAGCCCUGCUCCAGCCAGUCCCUCAUGCCUGCCCUCCGUGCAGCUGAUGUCGCCGGCCUCUGGAGGAAACCCAAGCCUGCUCUGGAGGGUUUCAGGAAGGUGCUCAGCUCUUGCAGAGGCAGCCGGGGCUCUUCAAAGUGCACCGUCUCACCCCCGGCCCCAGAUGGCACGUGCCUCUCUAACGGGACCAUGCCCCAGCUGACACUCACUUGGCUCCCAACCACUGUCUCCUCCAGGAGGCCAAGGCCGCCCCAGGCUCCCUGCGGGUCACCACCUUCUCUGUCCAGUUCCGGGAAAGCACUGGCCGUCCUGCCUGCCUGUGGCUGUUCCUGCUACAAGCCCUAAGCAGGCUCCACAGCAGCACAGCACACCCCUCUCCAGCCCGGCCCAGAGCAGGCCCAGGGAAAUGCAAGGUGCCGCUGGCCCUCACCGCUCUCUGAGAGCUCCACCUCGCCGGCCUCCAGGGCUUCGCUCUCCGCUGUGGCUGCCGCCUCCUCCGCCUCCUCCUCCUCAUCUUCAUCUUCAGCUACACUGAGCUCCCGUAGUCUGGUUUCGGUCUCAGGGGCCUCCUGGGGCUGCAGCCUCAGCUGCAUGGUAUGGAGAUGCUGCAAGACCUGCCUCUGAGGAGCAGAGAGAUGCUCAGCUCAGGACUGGGGGCUGUGGAUGCAGAGAAAGAUGGGGAUGGGGCACAAGGGGCAGGCAGGCUGCAACGAAGCUGGGCUCAUUGGGGAGCCGGUGUGGGUGGGAUGGGCUCUUGCACCUGCAGCUGGGGACGCUGGGCCUGCUGGGCACAGCUGAGCGCCUUCUGGAAGCACGGGGCCAGCAGCUCGUAGGCAUCGCCGGCCUCCUCGCGGGACAGUGCAAUGUUCAGCCAGGUCUUGGCCUCCUGGAGCAGGAGGAAAGACAGGGUCGGGGGCUGCCGCUCUCUGCAUCCAACGGGCCCCAGUCAAGCUUCCCCGGCUGCCCACACGAAACGGGAGCCUGGCCUCCCAGCUGCUGAGGGUGGAUGGUCCUAGGAAGGAGCUGCCCGUCCAGUAAGGACACCUGUCCAUGGCCACCCUGAGAACGGCAGUCCUGAGGCAGAGACAUGGGUGAACCUGCAUUCGGGCGGGGAGCAAGGGUUUCACCUCCAGCACGUUGCCGCUGCGCAGUCUCAGUUCCUCCUCAUAGUGGCGCACGGCCCCAUGGUGGUCCUUCAUGUCUCCCAGUGUGGUGGCCAGGGACACAUGGAUGAUGGCCCGCUCGGCACCCGGUCUGUCCAGCAGCUCAGCAAAACGCAGCUGGGGGCAGUGCCAGUGAGGCCAGGGGCUGCCACCCUGGCCAGGCCUCGUCAACCUCACUGGCCCUUCCCUCCCACCCAGCCGGGGCCACACACCUGCUUCUGGUAAGCCUCAGCUGCCCUGGGAAAGUCUCCUGCCUUGGAGAAGAGGUCCCCUAGCUGCUCACAGAUGACCAUGGCACCCUGAGGGUCACUGCCCUCGGCCUCUUCCAGCUGUUGCUGCAGCCGGACCACUGCCAGCACUGCCGGGAAGAGGUUCAUGCAGGGGGGCAGCACAGGGGGCCCUGACCCCAGCUCUACCACCUGCAAGCUGUGAGCCCUGUGGUGGCCCCCCCCACCCUCUCCACACCUCUGCCUGCCUGUUGGUGUGGGGGUUAAUAGCAGGGUCUAUCUUGGGGACUGGUCUCAAGGGUAACAAGAACUAACACACUUAAAAACUCGGGGCCAGGUACAGUGGCUCACGCCUGUAAUCCUAGGACUUUGGGAGGCCGAGGCAGGCAGAUCAUGAGGUCAGGAGAUCGAGACCAUCCUGGCUAACACGGUGAAACCUCGUCUCUACUAAAAAUACAAAAAAUUAGCCGGGUGUGGUGGCGGGCACCUGUAGUCCCAGCUACUCGGGAGGCUGAGGCAGGAGAAUGGCAUGAACCCGGGAAGCGAAGCUUGCAGUGAGCCGAGAUCAUGCCACUGCACUCCAGCCUGGGCGACAGAGCAAGACUCCAUCUCAAGAAAAAAAACAACACAACAUGGAUGGUGCCUGGCUCAAAGUAAGGGCUGACUGCUGCCAACCUCCAAUGGUGGUCUCUGCCAUCAGCACUCCUGGACCACACGCGUGCCAUCUCCUCUCCCACCCUGGGAGGCUAGGGGUACAACUACUGUCUCCAGUUUGCCAAUGAAGAUGGUGGCUGCGAAAUAAAAGCCCAGCUGGUCUCCUGGCCGCCCUUUCAUUGCCCC
Long non-coding RNA from Gorilla gorilla gorilla (western lowland gorilla), 2509 nucleotides. RefSeq lists it as uncharacterized. The transcript is spliced from 2 exons. Lineage: Eukaryota; Metazoa; Chordata; Mammalia; Primates; Hominidae. The record is from RefSeq and is a predicted model, not a curated record.